This 253-nucleotide ribosomal RNA is filed under the name uncultured bacterium. RNAcentral's name for it is "partial 16S ribosomal RNA". It matches the Rfam family "Bacterial small subunit ribosomal RNA", at positions 524 to 776 of the family's 1533-position model. The record is from RNAcentral.
GACGUAGGGGGCUAGCGUUGUCCGGAAUCAUUGGGCGUAAAGAGCGUGUAGGCGGCUCGGUAAGUCCGCUGUAAAAGUCAAAGGCUCAACCUUUGAAUGUCAGUGGAUACUGCCGGGCUAGAGUCCGGAAGAGGCGAGUGGAACUCCUGGUGUAGCGGUGGAAUGCGCAGAUAUCAGGAAGAACACCAACGGCGAAGGCAGCUCGCUGGGACGGCACUGACGCUGAGACGCGAAAGCGUGGGGAGCGAACAGG